This 109-nucleotide ribosomal RNA is filed under the name Clostridium sp. OF09-36. RNAcentral's name for it is "partial 23S ribosomal RNA". It matches the Rfam family "Bacterial large subunit ribosomal RNA", at positions 2815 to 2925 of the family's 2925-position model. Lineage: Bacteria; Bacillati; Bacillota; Clostridia; Eubacteriales; Clostridiaceae. The record is from RNAcentral.
CAUACGCAAGUAGUAAGACCCCUUGAAGACGACGAGGUAGAUAGGGCAGAGGUGGAAGCGUGGUAACACGUGCAGCUGACUGUCACUAAUAGGUCGAGGGCUUAACCAA